This 334-nucleotide unclassified non-coding RNA is filed under the name Hevea brasiliensis (rubber tree). The record is from RNAcentral. Lineage: Eukaryota; Viridiplantae; Streptophyta; Magnoliopsida; Malpighiales; Euphorbiaceae.
ACUCACCAAGGUCAAGAACUCUUAUAAGAUCUCUGCCAAGCUCGCCACUGCUGUGAAGCCGAAGUCCGCUGCUGCCGCCCCGAAGGCGAAGCCGAAGUCCGCAACUGCUGCAGCUAAGGCGAAGCUAAAGCCGAAAUCUGCUGCAGCGAAGCUGAAGAAGGCUGCUGUGAAGCCGAAAUGGAAAUCCUCUGCUGUGAAGGCUAAAUCUAAGGCUGCGGUCAUGAAAUCCAAGGCUGUUGCCCCGAACCCUAAAGCCGUCGGUCGGCCUGUCAAGGUAGCCAAAGCUGCUCCUUCUGCUAAGCCGAAGAAGGCAGCUCCAGUUGCUGUGAAGAAG